Molecule: ribosomal RNA, 403 nt
Filed under: bacterium
Lineage: Bacteria
Description: partial 16S ribosomal RNA
Rfam family: Bacterial small subunit ribosomal RNA
Source: RNAcentral
GGGGGAAUAUUGCACAAUGGAGGGAACCCUGAUGCAGCGACGCCGCGUGAACGAAGAAGGCUUUCGAGUCGUAAAGUUCUUUUAUAUGGGAAGAUAAUGACGGUACCAUAAGAAAAAGCCCCGGCUAACUACGUGCCAGCAGCCGCGGUAAUACGUAGGGGGCUAGCGUUGUCCGGAAUCACUGGGCGUAAAGGGUUCGCAGGCGGAAAUGCAAGUCAGGUGUAAAAGGCAGUAGCUUAACUACUGUAAGCAUUUGAAACUGCAUAUCUUGAGAAGAGUAGGGGUAAGUGGAAUUUUUAGUGUAGCGGUGAAAUGCGUAGGUAUUAAAAAGAAUACCGGUGGCGAAGGCGACUUACCGGGCUCAUUCUGACGCUGAGGAACGAAAGCGUGGGUAGCAAACAGG